Molecule: unclassified non-coding RNA, 422 nt
Filed under: Bombus terrestris (buff-tailed bumblebee)
Lineage: Eukaryota; Metazoa; Arthropoda; Insecta; Hymenoptera; Apidae
Description: misc RNA ENSBTSG00005038916.1
Source: RNAcentral
AUCGAAGGCAAUCACGCAAGUUGAAGAAUAAAAAGGAACCCACUCAAAUUUCUGUAAAGUUUGGUCGGUUCAAGGACACAUUGUUCGCAACUUCAUCAUUUAUUUCUGCAUGUAACCGGCAGGGUUAUCAUAGAAGAGUAAGCUCAUUAUAACUGAACCGGAAGACCUAAUUUAUUUAGAAAAUCAGUGGUGUUACGAUCAAAGGGAAUGAAGCAGAGUUUCCUCGAGUCUUGAAAUCGAGUUUCAAGUUCAAAACCUGCUUUUCUGUUUUCUAUUUCCCGGGGCUUGAGAACAUUAAAUUACCAGGGGCACUUCGGCGAUAUACAUGUCGCCAAGGCCGCCACAUCUUUAUCUCCAUCAUCGGUCCAUCGGAUUCGAAGUAUGACGAUCGUAACACCAUCCUGCCCGCGGUGUGUGUUCUG